This 221-nucleotide unclassified non-coding RNA is filed under the name soil metagenome. RNAcentral's name for it is "partial contains 5.8S ribosomal RNA, internal transcribed spacer 2, and large subunit ribosomal RNA". The record is from RNAcentral.
AACGCACGAGACCUGCGGACCUGCGGAAGGAUCAUUACAGAGUUGCAAAACUCCCUAACCCUUGUGAACAUACCUGUACGUCGUUGCUUCGGCGGGUAGCCCCUUUACGGGGCCUCGACCUCCCAGCGAGGUUGCCCGCCGGAGGACCACACAAAACUCUUGAAUUAAUGGCUUCUCUGAGUAUUAAUCAAAUAAGUUAAAACUUUCAACAAUGGAUCUCU